RNAcentral lists this microRNA precursor (68 nucleotides) under Bombyx mori (domestic silkworm). Its description in RNAcentral is "mir-2774 microRNA precursor family". It matches the Rfam family "mir-2774 microRNA precursor family". The record is from Rfam by way of RNAcentral. Lineage: Eukaryota; Metazoa; Arthropoda; Insecta; Lepidoptera; Bombycidae.
ACAACUUUCGGAGCGUCGGUCUUCCGAGCAAUAUCACCCGCUCAGAGGAAGAUCUUUCCCUCCAUCGU